Alosa sapidissima (American shad) is the source of this 915-nucleotide long non-coding RNA. RefSeq lists it as uncharacterized. The record is from RefSeq and is a predicted model, not a curated record. Lineage: Eukaryota; Metazoa; Chordata; Actinopteri; Clupeiformes; Clupeidae. The transcript has 3 exons.
UGAAGCAAAGAUGUCAGCUGUGAGAUUGGUAGCUGGUGGAGGAGGUAUUGAGUAGAGUUUUGAAGGUGGAAAAGAGUUCUCAGUGGCACUGUGGAUUGCAAAAGCCUUCUUUGCAGCAGUGGCACUGGAUGAGAAGGAGGACAUUAUUGACCAAAGAUUCUAGAGUGGAGCUCUGUUCUAGAAUCUUUGGUAUUGACUGGUAACUUGGAAGAUUGGUAGGUGUAUUAGUUUUGUGCCAUUUCCUCUCAGCAGCUCAUAGGCCAGUAAGCAGAGUUCAGAGGGUAUUGUUCAACCAUGGGUGUGUGACUGGUUAGGUCCAGCAGGUCUGGUGGAUAGAGGGCGCAGGCUCUCCAGACAGGAGCUUAGUGUAGAGCAGAGAGACUCUGUAGCAUCAUUAACCUCAAGAGAGGAGAAUGUGCUAGAAGGUGGAAGAGCAGAGGCUACUAAAAGAGAAAUGGACAGGAGAGGGGUUGCAGAGGUUGCAUCGAAAGGAGAUCAUGGGUGGAGGAACAGAAGACUGUUGAGAGUGAGAAUGAAAUCAAGCUCUCUGCCUGCUUGAUUGGCAGUUCCACAACCCAACAGAGAAGGAGGUCUGAGAGGCUGAGAAUGACCCAGAAUGACCAAGAAAAGCAUUGCCAGGAGAUGAGGGAAAAUGAUCAAGAAAGGAAUUGCCAGGAGAUCAGGGAAGUGAGUGAGAUUCCCACUGUCACCCCAGACAAUCAGGAAUCAAUGGAUUGACCACUUUGUUGGAUGCCAACGAGCAGCACCAGAAGACAGAGUUCCACCAAGCAGAUUGAAUUUAGCAGUAAAACUUACUAUGUAGAGACUUUUCCAGCACUUUCAGUCACAGUCCUGACUUUAAGAUCUUUAAGAGUAUCAAUAAUCAAUAAUCAAUAAAUCAGAGAUUCAGAAUCA